RNAcentral lists this long non-coding RNA (248 nucleotides) under Gossypium barbadense (sea-island cotton). Its description in RNAcentral is "long non-coding RNA (GBAR_LNC020727)". The record is from RNAcentral. Lineage: Eukaryota; Viridiplantae; Streptophyta; Magnoliopsida; Malvales; Malvaceae.
AAAAAUACGAACAAAUGGCCGAAGUAAGAGUUUUUUACUAACUUUUUUUUCAACUUGCAGGCAUCGCAAUGGCUUCAUUGAUUAGCAGCAAAAGCCACAUAUCUGAUGCGGUUAAUAACGCGGUAUGAGUUAUUAUUUAUUAAUCACAGGUUCUAUUUAUUUAAAAAGGAUAGACGUACAAAGAAAUAAUGUUAUCGUAAAAUUUUUUCUGUAAUUUAACACUAUCAGGACUCGUAUCGAGUUUUAAG